Molecule: ribosomal RNA, 464 nt
Filed under: uncultured bacterium
Lineage: Bacteria
Description: partial 16S ribosomal RNA
Rfam family: Bacterial small subunit ribosomal RNA
Source: RNAcentral
CUACGGGCGGCAGCAGUGGGGAAUAUUGGACAAUGGGGGAAACCCUGAUCCAGCAAUGCCGCGUGUGUGAAGAAGGCCUUAGGGUUGUAAAGCACUUUCAGUAGUGAGGAAAAGUUUAAGGCUAAUACCCUUGAACCCUGACGUUAACUACAGAAGAAGCACCGGCUAAGUUCGUGCCAGCAGCCGCGGUAAUACGAAGGGUGCAAGCGUUAAUCGGAUUUACUGGGCGUAAAGCGCGCGUAGGCGGUUUGAUAAGUCGGAUGUGAAAGCCCCGGGCUCAACCUGGGAAUUGCAUUCGAUACUGUCAGGCUAGAGUAUGGUAGAGGGAAGUGGAAUUCCACAUGUAGCGGUGGAAUGCGUAGAUAUGUGGAGGAACACCAGUGGCGAAGGCGACUUCCUGGCCCAAUACUGACGCUGAGGUGCGAAAGCGUGGGGAGCAAACAGGAUUAGAUACCCUUGUAGUC